UUGCUCUUCGCCGCGACGCGGUACCAUCGCGGCAACUUACUGCCUCACACGAAAAUGGCUAUAACUUUUCGCCUGGGUGUUGGAUUAGUUGAAAUUAGUAUCGCUGGAAAACUAAUUCAAUUAUCUACAAUUUAGUAGAUCUUGAGAUGGAAGAUUCUACAUAUACCAAAAGUUAUACACUUUCAACCCUUGUAGAAUUGUACACCAAACUUUGAAUGAAUCUAACGUU
Molecule: long non-coding RNA, 229 nt
Filed under: Capsicum annuum
Lineage: Eukaryota; Viridiplantae; Streptophyta; Magnoliopsida; Solanales; Solanaceae
Description: long non-coding RNA (CANN_LNC000414)
Source: RNAcentral